UUGCCCGUCACUGAAAUUGCUGCCCCGUACGAAGAACCCGAGGGUUUCACCCGCCGUCGCGCCCCCGUCCCUCCGCCGCCGCGCCACCGUCUCUCCGCCGCCGCGCACCCGUCCCUCCGUCGCCGCCGUCCUUCUACUCUGCGGUGCCCGUCCUCCAUCCGCGGUCGCCGAAUCGGAACGAGAUCCGCAACAUCCGCCGCAUCUCGCGUGACACCCAGCCGCAGCUGCUCGUCGACCAUGCGGGGAGCACGGACAAGCUGCCCGUCGACGUCCAUCCCGCAGCCCCGUUGACGACGGUGCCCAGCCUCCUACACAGCGGGCGCCUCCUACUUGCCACAAGGGUGCGAACGGGAACAGCGAGUAUGCUACGCCGAGAAGCGAUACAGGGGCAUGAAGCAAGUGAGCAGGUGUGCGCAGCGACCUCCUACUGCACUAAUAGCCUUGACGGAGCACCGGGGGGCUCGACAGUGCAUGCCGCCCGCCGGUGGACGCCUGGAUGUGCGCGAUGGAGAUGAACCCCACGUCAUCGCCUCUGUAGCCUGGACAGAGCUCCGGCAGUGCCGGUGAUGAACCCCACAUCUGUGCUGAGAUGUGCUUCGGUCGUUGUUAGCUGUCGAAUUUGUGAUGCAAUCCAUCCCUAUGUCGAUGCCCAAUCAGCAGAACAGAGCAGCUGCCGCAAUUUAUCGAUUGGUUUCUUGGAGUGAUUCAAACAUAGGAAAGCCUGCUACUCUUGCAAGAAACGGGUUAAGAAAUUUCAGUUUUCUUGUAUUUCUCCGUACUGCGGACUUCACCGGAAUUAUGUCGGCCCGUGUAGCCAAGGUACGUGGUUCAAACUGCUCGAGUAAUAUUGAUUUGGAGUUGUUUUGGCCAAGCAUCUGACUGAACCAUGCUACUGCACAGUAGCCAAAAUUUAGUGUAAACUGAACCAUGCUACUGUGUAGUAGCCAAAAUUCAGUCAGUUUGUUUUCCUGUGACCUGAAGUGGCUAAACUGAACCAUGAUACUACACAAUAGCCCAAAGUUUGACUGAUAGAUAUGAGUAUCAUCAUAUAACUUUUGUUUAUAUUUCUAGAAUAUGUAAUACCAGCAAUGUUGUUUUCAGUUUGAUAGGUGUGGCUGAUAACUUCCAGUACCAUUUACUAUAACGCAGUAUUGUGUGUUUUUUAAAGUUUUUAAUAGUCUUUGCUAAAGCCGAGCUUGCUUCUUAUAUACUUGUCUGUGAAUAGUUCAUACAUCACCAGAACCAAAAUUCAGCAGAGUAAAUGAGACAUAGUAAAGCUAAUAGCGUGUGCAUUUGAUUUCCUACAUCCAGAAAAGGGAAAUAUCCUUAGAGAAUUGCAGUUGAGAUGGCGCUAAAUAGCUUUCGUUGUAGUUGUAAAAGUAUGCUGUAAAAUGCUAUUUUGUAUCUUACUUUGACUGAAUAUACUUGCACAAUAUGUACUAAGUAGCUGUUUCUAUUCAACUAUGAUGAUGUUGCACUAACAUGUUAAAAUAAGUAACUGAUACUGCCAAGAUCCGAGGUCAAUUAUUUGUACUCAUGUAAAUGGUAAUCUCUGGUGAACAAGAACAGAAUUUGAUUCACCAAGUUUCAUACAUGUUUUGGCUUCACAACACAUGGUGGAAGAAGGGGUUUUCCCAUUGUGCACCAGUAACCUACAGUAGGUUAUCUGACAUUGACCUUUUUUCUGUUUAGUUCUCAGUUAUUGUGAAAGCUACGUUGUGAUGUUGUGCUCAGUGCAUGCCAUGGUUCAAUCAGGUCCAAUCUAGCUCAUUGGAUCUUGAUUCAUUAGUUUAUUUACUUGAAUUUAAUCUAUGAACAGAAUUUCAUAAUGUCAAGGGAAAGGAAUAAUUUGGCUCUGGGAGGCAAUCUCAUACAUGGCUUAGUGCACACAUUUUUCCUGUUCUUUGAGUUCUUUCAGUAAAGCAAUCACAAGAUACACUCCUAAUUCUUUCCAGUUUUAUUUUGUCUUACUGAAAUUCUGAUUAGCCGAGAAGAGAACAAGUAGUACGUCUCUUCCUAGACAACCUGAAUCUGAAUGACUACAACUGCUGUGUACCAAUCUGACUAUGCAAGUGCAAGUGCAACUACAUUGGUUGGAUGCAAGGAAGGCAGAAUCAUCCGUGUGAAGCCAAUAUGACAAGGCUCAGUCUGCACAAGAUGCAUAUGGAAAUGCAAAUAUUUCCUCAUGCUCAGUGUAGAGUAUGCAAACUUCACACUGGAAAUAAAAGACUGACAUGAGUUUCCUUGCUGGAAAGCGGAAAGAUUGACGCGCACAGUCCCAACACUGGAACCCGAAGGAAUUGACCUGCUAUAGGAAAUAGACCGACAUGGGGAGGACUGGAAGGGCGCGGAGGGGCACCGACGGUAGAGAGGGCGGAGCAGCAGCUCGAAGUGGGAUGCAUGCGUGUGUACAGAGGUGUUGCUUGCAUUUUCUGAACUUUUGGUGAUUUUUGUCAGGGACAAUCACUUGAGUGAUUGCAGUAAACGUACAGAUUAUAGAAAUCCAUUUCUUCUUCAAUAUCUCCUUGAAGUUCUGUACUAAACACUAAGGUCUACAGGGCUGCACUUGGUCAUUCAACACUGAAGGUCAAUGUUGCACUAAGGCUGGUUGGGUUCUGAACAUGCAAUAAAAUGAAGAAAAGUUAGCAAGGAUUACAGAUCUUGCUUCAAGAAAAAUGUUGACUAAUUGUUUUGACGCAUCAUUAGCUUUGACAGGAAAGAGAAUCUGUAGGAAUUGCAGGAUUUCUUCAAUUACAUCAUUAGCAGAUGGCAAAGCCUUGAGGCUACCACUAGGAAUGAAGAAAAAAUGUGAAGAUGACUGGUUAAGGAAAUAGCAAGACUUGCAUAUUGGCAUGAAUUUAAAUUUCUGGUUUCGGUCUUUUAGUUGAUACCGGACUUAGGUGUGAGAAAUUGACUCAGAAUAAUGACGCGAAGUCGAAGAAAUCAUCAUAGUGAGGACGAGCUUGAGGUUGCAGUGGCGGAACCAAAAG
Triticum aestivum (bread wheat) is the source of this 2990-nucleotide long non-coding RNA. RefSeq lists it as uncharacterized. The record is from RefSeq and is a predicted model, not a curated record. NCBI's taxonomy places the organism in Eukaryota, Viridiplantae, Streptophyta, Magnoliopsida, Poales, Poaceae. The transcript has 5 exons.